Molecule: ribosomal RNA, 456 nt
Filed under: Triticum aestivum (bread wheat)
Lineage: Eukaryota; Viridiplantae; Streptophyta; Magnoliopsida; Poales; Poaceae
Description: partial small subunit ribosomal RNA
Source: RNAcentral
AUGCCCCGGGGGGUUUAUAUAGGCCUACCCCCCGGGGGUACAAUGGUAAUCUGGCUGGGCGCGGGGCCCAGCCGUCUGUGUCUAUCCUCUCCGGCUUCUGCGCCGGCUGCUGGGGCCUGCCGGCUAGUGGGUCCCGCCGGCUGCCGGCUCCUUGGUCGACAGGCAGGCCCCACUGUCAGGGCCUUGUCGGCGGCUGGUUACUGUUGCUCAAUCUUGGUGGCGAGGGCUUCGCCGAAGUGGGCGUGGCUACAGUGCCGCCGCCCGGUGGGUGAUCACUGUAGCCCCACCGUGUCUUGUCUCCUUAAUGGGGCGUCUUCUUCAAGGGAGGUGGCAAGCUGGCUAUGGGGAGCCGGCUCUAUCUUGGGCCGACUGGGGGAGGUCUGGCCGCCUUCGGGUGUCUCUCUGCCCGAAGGGGCCCACCACCCGUGGGCCGUACUGGUAGCCCGUCGUGGAUGA